RNAcentral lists this ribosomal RNA (157 nucleotides) under Rhizophagus intraradices. Its description in RNAcentral is "5.8S ribosomal RNA". It matches the Rfam family "5.8S ribosomal RNA". From Rfam's summary of the family: 5.8S ribosomal RNA (5.8S rRNA) is a component of the large subunit of the eukaryotic ribosome. It is transcribed by RNA polymerase I as part of the 45S precursor that also contains 18S and 28S rRNA. The record is from RNAcentral. Lineage: Eukaryota; Fungi; Glomeromycota; Glomeromycetes; Glomerales; Glomeraceae.
UCACUCUCAACAACGGAUCUCUUGGCUCUCGCAUCGAUGAAGAACGUAGCGAAGUGCGACAAGUAAUGUGAACUGCAAAAUUCCGUGAAUCAUCGAAUCUUUGAACGCAAAUUGCACUCUCUGGCAACCCGGGGAGUAUGCCUGUUUGAGGGUCAGU